RNAcentral lists this ribosomal RNA (545 nucleotides) under Flexamia abbreviata. RNAcentral describes it as "partial 16S ribosomal RNA". It matches the Rfam family "Archaeal large subunit ribosomal RNA", at positions 1889 to 2688 of the family's 2987-position model. Lineage: Eukaryota; Metazoa; Arthropoda; Insecta; Hemiptera; Cicadellidae. The record is from RNAcentral.
CGCCUGUUUAACAAAAACAUUUCUUUUUGGUUAUUUAAAAAGUACCUUCUGCCCUAUGAUGAUUUAUUAAAUGGCUGCAGUAUUUUGACUGUGCAAAGGUAGCAUAGUAAUUAGCUUCUUAAUUAGAAGCUUGUAUGAAUGGAUGUAUGAGAGGGAUAUUUUAUUAGUUUUAUUAUUAAAAAUUUAAUUUUGAGUUAAAAUGCUCCAGCUAUAUCCUGGGCCGAUAAGCCCUGUAGAACUUUACCUAAAAAAUGUUUAUAAAUUUUUAAUAUAAUAUUAUAUUAAUAUGUUUUUUUGUUUUGCUGGGGUGGUUAAUAAAAUCAAACUUUAUUUAUAUAAAUCAUUAUUUUUGUUUAUUUUGAUCUUUGUUAGGAAUUAUAAGAAUAAGUUACCUUAGGGAUAACAGCGUAAUUUUAAUGGAAAGUUCAUAUUUAUAUUAAGGUUUGCGACCUCGAUGUUGAAUUAAGAUUAAUUAAAGAAGCAGUUUUCUUUAUUUUAGGUCUGUUCGACCUUUAAAUUCUUACCUUGAUCUGAGUUCAGACCGG